ACAACUGGAACUAUGGGGGAACUAAGCCCGGUAUGUACAGUCUCUAGUAGCUUACGAAUAAAACAUGCUCAAUCGUUCUGCACCUGAAUCUAUGACAUUCAUUAAUUAAAACUUUGAAUAGAUGCAAGUCAUAUCUAAAGUUCUUGAUGAAAUCUUCAGGGGAUCUUACUUGAACCAUAUGAAAAAAUAUCCUGUUCUUUUGUUACAGGUUGUGAAAAUCGAUGGACGUGUGAUUGGUGACGGCAAAGUUGGACCGGUAACGAGAACACUGCAAAACGCUUACAAGAAACUGACAGAGGAUUCAGGUGUGCCAAUACCUACUUACCAAGAACCCUGAAAUACAAAACAAGAGGUAAUCAAAGUUGCUGAAUAGUCGUCUAUCUGAGAUAGUAUAUCAAAAAUUUUGGUUAUGAUUUAAUAAUAGCUUAGCAAAUGCAAGAGUAGAUUAAAAACCAUUUUAACUUUCACAUGAUUCAAGUGGGUCUUUAUACCGUUUAUUUAGGUUUUGAAACAGAGCCACGAGGGAACUUAAUAAUAAAAAGCAAUCAACUCUCACAUGAUUCAAUUGGUUUUGAGGAAAAAACAUGAAGCUUUUGCGUCAUCUUAAUUAAUAGAUUUCCUUUCAUGUAAGUAAAGAAGCUUUC
This 644-nucleotide long non-coding RNA is filed under the name Arabidopsis lyrata. RNAcentral describes it as "long non-coding RNA (ALYR_LNC002238)". Lineage: Eukaryota; Viridiplantae; Streptophyta; Magnoliopsida; Brassicales; Brassicaceae. The record is from RNAcentral.